CCUACGGGAGGCAGCAGUGAGGAAUAUUGGUCAAUGGGCGGAAGCCUGAACCAGCCAAGUAGCGUGCGGGAUGAAGGCCCUACGGGUCGUAAACCGCUUUUGCACGGGGAUAACACCCUCCACUUGUGGAGGUCUGCAGGUACCGUGCGAAUAAGGGCCGGCUAAUUCCGUGCCAGCAGCCGCGGUAAUACGGAAGGCCCGAGCGUUAUCCGGAUUCAUUGGGCUUAAAGGGAGCGUAGGCGGAAGGUUAAGUCAGCGGUAAAAUGUCGGUGCUCAACACCGGCCUGCCGUUGAAACUGGUAUUCUUGAGUGAGCGAGAGGUAUGCGGAAUGCGUGGUGUAGCGGUGAAAUGCAUAGAUAUCACGAAGAACUCCGAUUGCGAAGGCAGCAUGCCGGCGCUCAACUGACGCUGAGGCACGAAAGCGUGGGGAUCGAACAGGAUUAGAUACCCCUGUAGUC
RNAcentral lists this ribosomal RNA (459 nucleotides) under uncultured bacterium. Its description in RNAcentral is "partial 16S ribosomal RNA". It matches the Rfam family "Bacterial small subunit ribosomal RNA", at positions 338 to 795 of the family's 1533-position model. The record is from RNAcentral.